Molecule: ribosomal RNA, 472 nt
Filed under: uncultured soil bacterium
Lineage: Bacteria
Description: bacterial SSU rRNA
Rfam family: Bacterial small subunit ribosomal RNA
Source: RNAcentral
AGGACGAACGCUGGCGGCGUGCUUAACACAUGCAAGUCGAGCGGUAAGGCCCUUUCGGGGGUACACGAGCGGCGAACGGGUGAGUAACACGUGGGUGACCUGCCCUCAGCUCUGGGAUAAGCCCGGGAAACUGGGUCUAAUACCGGAUAUGACCACAUGUCGCAUGGUGUGUGGUGGAAAGUUUUUCGGCUGGGGAUGGGCCCGCGGCCUAUCAGCUUGUUGGUGGGGUGAUGGCCUACCAAGGCGACGACGGGUAGCCGGCCUGAGAGGGCGACCGGCCACACUGGGACUGAGACACGGCCCAGACUCCACGGGAGGCAGCAGUGGGGAAUAUUGCGCAAUGGGCGGAAGCCUGACGCAGCGACGCCGCGGUGGGGAUGACGGCCUUCGGUGUAAACCUCUUCGACCUUGACGAAGCCUUCGGUGACGGUAGGGUAGAAGAAGCACCGGCCAACUACGUGCCAGCAGCCGC